CGUCCCCUUCUCCUUGUGCCCUCCAUCUUUCCCACAUCAGGGUCUUUUCCAGGGAGUCUUCUCUUCUCAUGAGGUGGCCAAAGUAUUGGAGCCUCAGCUUCAGGAUCUGUCCUUCCAGUGAGCACUCAGGGCUGAUUUCCUUCAGAAUGGAUCGGUUUGAUCUUCUUGCAGUCCAUGGGACUCUCAAGAGUCUCCUCCAGCACCAGAAUUCAAAAGCAUCAAUUCUUCAGCGAUCAGCCUUCUUUAUGGUCCUGCUCUCACUUCCAUACAUCACUACUGGGAAAACCAUAGCUUUAACUAUACAGUGGUACCUCGGGUUAAGUACUUAAUUCGCUCCGGAGGU
Molecule: non-coding RNA, 343 nt
Organism: Podarcis lilfordi (Lilford's wall lizard)
Lineage: Eukaryota; Metazoa; Chordata; Lepidosauria; Squamata; Lacertidae
Source: the annotation of a GenBank genome assembly